RNAcentral lists this ribosomal RNA (397 nucleotides) under uncultured bacterium. RNAcentral describes it as "partial 16S ribosomal RNA". It matches the Rfam family "Bacterial small subunit ribosomal RNA", at positions 523 to 918 of the family's 1533-position model. The record is from RNAcentral.
AUACGGAGGAUGCGAGCGUUAUCCGGAUUUAUUGGGUUUAAAGGGUGCGUAGGCUGUGCGUUAAGUCAGGGGUGAAAUGCCGUCGCUCAACGACGGAGCUGCCCUUGAUACUGGCGUGCUGGAGUACGGAUGCCGUUGGAGGAAUGAGUGGUGUAGCGGUGAAAUGCUUAGAUAUCGCGCAGAACCCCGAUUGCGAAGGCAGCUGUCCAGCACGCGACUGACGCUCAUGCACGAAAGCGUGGGUAUCGAACAGGAUUAGAUACCCUGGUAGUCCACGCGGUAAACGAUGAUAACUGGCUGUCCGGGGAGAAUGAUUUCUGGGCGGCUGAGCGAAAGCGUUAAGUUAUCCACCUGGGGAGUACGCCGGCAACGGUGAAACUCAAAUGAAUUGACGGGG